UACGGAGGGGGCUAGCGUUGUUCGGAAUUACUGGGCGUAAAGCGUACGUAGGCGGCUUUGUAAGUUAGAGGUGAAAGCCCAGAGCUCAACUCUGGAAUUGCCUUUAAGACUGCAUCGCUUGAAUCGUGGAGAGGUUAGUGGAAUUCCGGAGUGUAGAGGUGAAAUUCGCAGAUAUCAGGGAGGAACAACCGGGUGGCCGAAAGGGCGGGUCUCCUGGGGCCGAUACUGACGGCUGAGGAGCGAAAGCGUGGGGGAGCGAACAGGAUGAGACUACCGUGG
Molecule: ribosomal RNA, 279 nt
Filed under: uncultured bacterium
Lineage: Bacteria
Description: partial 16S ribosomal RNA
Rfam family: Bacterial small subunit ribosomal RNA
Source: RNAcentral